Oncorhynchus kisutch (coho salmon) is the source of this 4506-nucleotide long non-coding RNA. RefSeq lists it as uncharacterized. The record is from RefSeq and is a predicted model, not a curated record. The transcript is spliced from 17 exons. Lineage: Eukaryota; Metazoa; Chordata; Actinopteri; Salmoniformes; Salmonidae.
UAGCCUGCAGGAAAGUUACAAGAAGAACAAGAAUAGUUACCUUAUCCGGCCAUGUGACACUUGUGGUUUAUAGAUUUUUCGCUCACACCAGAUGUCUGGACCCUGGACAGAUAACAGAAGGAGAGAGGGACCCUAGGAGGGACGUAAAGGAUUUGAUGAAAUCCUGUUAAGACAGACAAUCAGAUGGUAUGGCCUCUGAGGACCCCCAAGGAGCUCAACCGAGAGAAGGACCCACAAGCCCAACUGGACGAGGCCAUUAAACGAGGCAAAAAGACUGGCUGAGGAGCUCAACCCAGAACGGCUCCAAGGGCCAGUACAUCAAGAGCCAGACUAGUGCAACAUUUUGGACCAGUCACUGAGGAAGAAUCAGAGACGAGGACCAGUGGGUUGGAAUCAACUCCAGUUUUAAACAUUGAUGAAGAAAUAGGUAUGUUUAAAUGGUUUUUCUUUCAAAAUUGGGGUCAUCUUGGUGUUACUGAAUUAUACUGCACUACAUCUUUAUUUUGACAGUGAUGCAACAUUUUUAAAUGUGUUUCCAGAAUUUCGGAUUUGAGAUCAAAUGUUUGAUAUGAGGUUACAGUGCAGAAUGUCACCUUUUAUUUCAGGGUAUUUGUAGACUUUUCUGAUUUACCGUUUCGAAAUGAAGGCACUUUAUAUGUCUAGUUGCAAGUUUUAUUAGUCGUAUGUACAGGAUACGGAUGGUAACACGAUCCAACGAAAUGCUUACUUGCAGGUAGCUUCUCGACAAAGCAAAUGAAAAUGCUGGAGUGUAGAGACAAAUUCAACAUUUUAGCAUCACUGUCCAAAUACUUCUGUAGGGGAGUACAAUAACAACAUCCUGGUACUUCUGUAGGAGAGUGCAAUAACAACAUCCUGGUACUUCUGUAGGGGAGUGCAAUAACAACAUCCUGGUACUUCUGUAGGGGAGGGCAAUAACAACAUCCUGGUACUUCUGUAGGGGAGGGCAAUAACAACAUCCUGGUACUUCUGUAGGGGAGGGCAAUAACAACAUCCUGGUACUUCUGUAGGGGAGGGCAAUAACAACAUCCUGGUACUUCUGUAGGGGAGGGCAAUAACAUCCUGGCAGAGCUUUUUCCUCCACAUUUCAUUUAAUAUGAAGCGAUCUGCCAUUCCACAUUAUGGAAUUAGUCUUAGUUGAAUUCAUUCAAGUCCACUAUUGGAAUGUUUACACUGUCUUUCCUUUUGUAACCACUGUCUGUAAUUGUGAAAGCUGGAAGCAUUUGCCUUUGAGGAGAGUUUACUCUGUAGUCAAAAUACACAGUGUACAAAAUAUUCCCAAUAUUGAGUUGUACUCUCUUUUGCCCUCAGAACAGCCUCAAUUCGUCAGGGCAUGGCCUCUACAAGGUGUCGAAAGCGUUCCACAGGAAUGCUGGCCCAUGUUGACUCAAAUGCUUCCCACAGUUGUCAAUUUGGCUGGAUGUCCUUUGGGUGGUGGACCAUUCUUGAUACACACGGGUAAAUGUGGAUCGUGAAAAACCCAGCAGCGUUGCAGUUCUUGACACAAACCGUUGGACCUGGCACCUACUACCAUACCCCUUUCAAAGGCACUUAAAUAUUUUGUCUUGCCCAGUCACCCUCUGAAUGGCACACAUACACAAUCCAUGUCUAGAUUGUCUCAACACUUAAACAUCCUUCUAAAACCUGUCUCCUCCCCUUUAUCUACACUGGUGGAUUUAACAGGUGACAUCAAUAAGGGAUCAUAGCAUUCACCUGGUCAGUCUGUCAGGGAAAGAGAAUGUUUUGUACUCAGUGUGUUGUUGCUGUUUUAAGAACAUUCAGAAUUUCUAUUCGAUGAUGGGAUCAAGUUAUAUUGUUUGAUAUUCCAAUUUAGACUUUACUCAUCAUUUUGGUCUGCAAUGUAUUUGAAUUUACUGUAGAAUCAAAGCUGAUGUUUUUGGCUUGUCACACCAUAGAUUGUGCAGAGAUAUAUUUGCUGUCACCUACUUACAGCCCUAUGUGUGUUUUAAUAGAUUAAUUAUAUCAUUUUCUUAAUUGAAUCAUUUUCCCAUUUUUGUGUUUUCAAAAAAGCAAUACUUCAUAGAGAAAUUAACAUCCUCCUAGCUGACUUAGAAGAGUGUUGAGUGUUCAAAUCCUGCGGUGCCUGGUGCAUCACACAGUUGGAGUGUGAGGAAGGAACUCUCACAGGAUAGGUGGAGAGAGUCCAGGCCUGAGAUUGUAGAUUCUCUGCUGGCUGCAGAGCAUGCUUCUCAGAAGAUCUGUCAGUCAUGCAAUGUGAAAAAGGCUAUUCUGCGAUGUAGAGACUGUCUGCCGAAACAGCUUUACUGCGAAGACUGCGAUGUCUCUACACAUGCAAAGUUCCCCCUGUACAACAGAGAGUUCAUGAUCGAGGGGUUCUACACGCCCCUUCCUCCAACUACAGCCAUAUCUCUCCACAGCGAUGGCAACAGGAUUGUUUCUUACCAUUGGACGUACCAGAGGUGAUAUGUGGUUGCCUGACAAGCACCAUCCAUGUUGGCCCUGGGAAACAUAUAAUACUCGUAGGAAUCAAUGGUCGCUACAAUGUCACAGUGCCUGUGCUGACCUGCACAACUUGUCUUAGCACCUGGACAGCAAACUUGGCAGAUCUGAUAAAGUAUGGGUACUGGCCUGCCACUGUCAACUGUGACACCAUAUACCAUGUAGAUCUGUUUAGCUCUUUUGAGGAGCUGAAAGUGUCAGCCCUAGGAAUGUCCCGUCUGGCGUUUAUGCGGAUUUUGGAGCAGCGUACUGACUACUUUGACAGGAACAGAAUGAUCUGUGGGGACACUUUUCAAAAAAGCUUCUUUGAGUGGACGUACUGCCGCUCUGAAAUUGAUCAGGUCUGUGAUAUACAGUACUUUGACUACCCAGCCUGUUCACCCAGCAUGCUUGUAGUGUCAGUGGACGGGAACAAGAAGCUCUAUCGAUUCAAAAAAGGGACUGAUGACAAAGGAUUCUUUGGCGUAUUUAUCUGCAAGGAUGAGGAUGUGUCUGACUUUGUGAACUAUGUCCAUACAAAGACUAAACAUGGUUAUGGAAAAGGGGUAUGUGGAGCAUCCCAGUGGUCAGCAGCUAAAGAGUCAUCAAGGAAAACAAACAACAAACUUGAUGAAGAGGGACUCGAAGUUGCCGUCUGCCGCCACGGAAUACUUCUAAGGAGCCUCAACACGAUGCGUGGAGAGAUAUUUGCGUACCCACUGUUCUUGCAGAAGGAAUUGUCUGGCAACAGGAACAUACAAUUCAUGUGUACGGAUGUGAUCUGCAAAUUUUGGCCAUACCUGACCAAAGUUGCCCUUCACUGUCCAGAGCUCGCCACUCUUCUAGACAUGAAGCCACUGCUUUCCAUCAUGCAAAGGCACAUCGUUUGAAAUGCGAGAUUAAGUGGGGAGGACGGAAUCAGGAAGGAGCUGGCACAACUCUGGGGGAGGAAGUGGAACAAGGCAACAGCUUCUUGUCGAGGGCUGCAAUCUGUUCCGAGCAAAUGUCCAAAGGAGCAAGAACAGACAUGCUAACCAUCCAGGCCAUGGGGUGGAACAGAAGGAAGAAGAACAACCUGCACAGAGUAUUGUCCAGAAGAUACUUGAAGACAACAGCAAAAAUCCAGGAGGAGACCCGGACUCAAAGUUUAGGAGUGAUUUGGGUGUAGGCGACGAGACUCUGUACAACUGGACAACGGAAGUUCAGCAAUGGGCUACUACAGAGGAAACAAAUGAGAACAUGGAUGGUCAUCAGGUACUACAUAGAACAAUUGAAGUCCUGUUUCUUAGCGUCAAACAAAGGAAACAGAACCUCUACUGUCAGACAGAAGGAUACAAGAAAAGACACCCUCUGUGCAGAAAGAUAUUGGAAGAAAAGGCCAAAUUGACAGCUGCCAUAUAGGAGUACAACGCCCUUGUACCGGAUUCAGCAAUACCAUCUGCAGAUGAUAUCCUUUCUGCAGACCUUCAUGCAUGGCCUUGGGAGCUGCAUGGACAAACUGACCUACUCACAAAGAAAAUAGCCUUUGACCGGGUGAUGCUCCUGAGACGGCUGAAGGAGGAAGAGGUAAUUGUCCUAAAGGAAGUCUAGCAGCACUGGGAAAGCCUAAAGAGGGAAUCGGAGAAUGUGCAAGACCUUGCUUCACAUGUGGCACUUGACCUAAGCAGGCAAAUCAGAAGCUGGGAGCAGAGGUCUCUUCUCCAUGCUUCAGAGGAGAGUCAGCAGCCUCAGAAGAUACCAGGACUCUGUCAAACUGAUAUACAGCAAAGCUAUGGGCCAAGACACCUCCCUCCUAGAAAAUAACUUCAUAGAUGACCUCCUGGAAGAGGACCUAGAUGACAUCUAUGACAGCAUUCACUACAGCUCGGAUGACGAGGAAUCUAUCACAGACUGAAGGUGUUCGUUUGGGUGGGUGCAGUUUGCACUGGGUAAAAAGUGAUUCCAUUUGUUUUGCAUGUGUGUUUUAUCUGCCUUCGUAAGGAAAAAUAGUUUGACAUUUUUUUGGAAAAUAAACUUUUAUGUUUCUUC